Molecule: ribosomal RNA, 492 nt
Filed under: uncultured bacterium
Lineage: Bacteria
Description: partial 16S ribosomal RNA
Rfam family: Bacterial small subunit ribosomal RNA
Source: RNAcentral
AGUGAACGCUGGCGGUAGGCCUAACACAUGCAAGUCGAACGGCAGCACAGUAAGAGCUUGCUCUUACGGGUGGCGAGUGGCGGACGGGUGAGGAAUACAUCGGAAUCUACUUUUUCGUGGGGGAUAACGUAGGGAAACUUACGCUAAUACCGCAUACGACCUACGGGUGAAAGCAGGGGAUCUUCGGACCUUGCGCGAUUGAAUGAGCCGGUGUCGGAUUAGCUAGUUGGCGGGGUAAAGGCCCACCAAGGCGACGAUCCGUAGCUGGUCUGAGAGGAUGAUCAGCCCCAGUGGAACUGAGACACGGUCCAGACUCCUACGGGAGGCAGCUGUGGGGAAUAUUGGACAAUGGGCGCAAGCCUGAUCCAGCCAUACCGCGUGGGUUAAGAAGGCCUUAGGCUUUUAAAGCCCUUUUGUUCGGAAAGAAAAGCAGCAGGUUAAUACCCCGUUUUUUUGACGUUACCCAAAGAAUAAGCACCGGCUAACUUCGUG